GUAAGUACAGACCCACCUCCCAUCUCCACCUAGCUGAGUCUCACUCCUCCUGCACCCCGCCUGUCUCUUCCAUGAGCCUCUCUUUUUCUUGUCUCUGAAUUCCUCCAGCAUGCAAUUUCCAAAGCACAGGCCUCCACACGCCACCAGCCAUCCCCACGUGGCUCCCGUACGAUUCUUUACUUAAUAUUUCCCUUUAAAUCAACCCACUCUUUUACUUGAACAAAUUUAUUUUCAAAGGAAACUGUAUAUCUCCACCAUAAAUAGAAAAACCAUGCCAUAUGCCACAAAUAGAAGGCAGAUGAAAAAAAACAAGUUAUGCUCUAAUACACAUGAAAAUAAAUCAUCAGGAAAACAUUUUUAAAUGCUUGUCCAUGUGCCUGACGAGGUAAACCUAUAUACAGGUUGUAAAUGGAACAGCACCUCGAGGGACAAGGGUCCCGAAACGGGCCCCUGCAUGUGCGUACAGGCCGUGCUUACAUCCUGACAACUUCAACUGCUCCUGACCAAGUCAACUGGCCACGCGGCCUUCCAAAAUCUUCAAAAAUCCCCUCCUGCUCUAAGACGCGUGGCCUUGGCACUUUAUGUUCUGCUUUCUUUGUGGCCCCUGGGUUUUUCGGCCCCAUCUCACAGUUAUCUGGGGACUUGUCACCAAAUGUGAGUAUCCCAGGGUAGGGAGCACAGAGCCUGCUGCAGCCCCUGAGCCAGUCUUGCACGCAGCAUAACACGCAAUACAAACAGCUCUCCAACAGCACGCUCUGGUCUGCUCCGAUGCGUGGCCCCCAUUCUCUGCCUGACCCCAGGCCCAUCUGCUGCUAGCGCACAACCCCUCUGCCCCACUCCCCCAAAUCCAUCUCUGUCCACUGGGGUGUUUCAAAGGACCACACAGAAAGAGCAACGGAGGCACCAGCGGGGCAUGAGGCUGUUCUCCAGCCCCGGCUGCCUCUUCUUUAGAAGCAGCAGGACCUGCGGCACGAGGCUGUUCUCCAGCCCCGGCUGCCUCUUCUUUAGAAGCAGCAGGACCUGGGGCAGCCUGGAAAAGCAAGUUUCCAGUCAACGAUUAACCAGACGCUCUCCCAGCAAAGACACAAACCUUUUCCCCGGAAGUUAGCAAAGUUCUGUGAAAACCCCUGCAUGAACUGGGCCCCUGACUCCAGGAAAACAGAGGCAUCUUCCAAUGUCCUUGGAGCCAUGAGACCCCGAAACACCUACCGGGAACAGAGGGGCUUCACCCAGACAGGCCCCACCAGGGAGGAGGAGGCCGCUCUCCCUCCCACCACCGUUGUCGGGGGUGACCCGAGGUGUUCCAGAUGAGGAGCUGAAUCACUGGGACUUAAGUCAAUAAGUGGCAGCCACCAGGCAGGCCCAGCUGGAGCCAAACCAAGGCCUGGAUUCUCCUCGUGGAUGUCUGGCACAGCAUGAGCCCUGAUGUGCGCUUUCUGCUCCUGCUCCUGCUCCUGCCCCUUCGGAGGCCUGUGCCAGUGGCAGCUGGGCCCGGAGACACCAGGCCGGCACUGCUCUCUUUCGAGGCACCCGUGUUUGUGCCGACGCUGACUCCCGGUUGUCUGCAGCAGCCACGUGGCCGAAAUGGAGCCUCUCCACGGGGGCUCCUUCCCCAGCCCCUGGAUGGCACAGCAGCCUCUCCUGUCUGUCACCACGUGUGACCUGCUCCCUUAGUCUUCAGCCGCUCAUCCACGUCUGCAGGGGCAUCUAACUCUGUCCCAGGGUAUCCCAGACCCUGGCUCACGCCCCAGGCUCUCCAUUCAGGCUCCAUCGUCCACCUCAGACCAUCUCGGGUUUGCUGGUCUUCUGGACUAGCGCAGCCAGAAAGAACCCAGGAAGGAAGCCUCACGUCUGACACAAGAACCUUCGGUGCUAACCCGAGGGCGGUAUGUGCAUCCUCAGCACCUGCCCAUCCGGCACCAUCCUCUGAUCCAGGGACUGUGAGCAACAGGGCCCCGUGGCCAGGACAUCUCUCACCCUCCAGUUAAAAUCUCGCCAGUUGAGUCUGCCCAUGAAAGUAGGCGCUGAACUGCCCAAUAAAUCCACAAGUAAGAGUUGCAAGAAGGAGCCAAAAAGGGCUGAGCUGAAUGACUCAUAUAUGAAAUAAUUUGAUAAUUAAUAUAAAUAGGAAAUUUAAAGUCUCCAGCUGAGUGACAGAAAACACCUUAAAAAGCUCAAGAGAGAGGAAAGGAAGAAAAUAAACCUAUAAUUGCAAAAUAAAAGCAUUGAAAGAAGCCGUGCUCAAGAGAACACCUCCCGGGCACGUGAGAAGAACGUGCGUCCUGUGGUUGCUGGGUGGCGUGUUCUGCAGAUGUCUGUCCUGCCGGGCACGUGAGAAGAACGUGCAUCCUGCAGUUGCUGGGUGGAGAGUUCUGCAGAUGUCUGUCCUCCCGGGCACUUGAGAAGAACGUGCAUCCUGCGGUUGCUGGGUGGAGAGUUCUGCAGAUGUCUGUCCUCCCAGGCACUUGAGAAGAACGUGCAUGCUGUGGUUGCUGGGUGGAGAGUUCUGCAGAUGUCUGUCCUCCCAGGCACUUGAGAAGAACGUGCAUGCUGUGGUUGCUGGGUGGAGAGUUCUGCAGAUGUCUGUCCUCCCAGGC
Molecule: long non-coding RNA, 2597 nt
Filed under: Homo sapiens (human)
Lineage: Eukaryota; Metazoa; Chordata; Mammalia; Primates; Hominidae
Description: HSALNT0235683
Source: RNAcentral